Molecule: ribosomal RNA, 301 nt
Filed under: uncultured bacterium
Lineage: Bacteria
Description: partial 16S ribosomal RNA
Rfam family: Bacterial small subunit ribosomal RNA
Source: RNAcentral
CAGCAGCCGCGGUAACACGGAGGAUCCAAGCGUUAUCCGGAAUCAUUGGGUUUAAAGGGUCCGUAGGCGGUCUUGUAAGUCAGUGGUGAAAGCCCAUCGCUCAACGGUGGAACGGCCAUUGAUACUGCAGGACUUGAAUUAUUGGGAAGUAACUAGAAUAUGUAGUGUAGCGGUGAAAUGCUUAGAGAUUACAUGGAAUACCAAUUGCGAAGGCAGGUUACUACCAAUUGAUUGACGCUGAUGGACGAAAGCGUGGGUAGCGAACAGGAUUAGAUACCCCCGUAGUCCCUGUCUCUUAUAC